GGAUCCUGUGCUAGAAUUCUUAACGCCCUGGUGAGAGGUUUUAGCCACAGCACCUCUGAGGGGCUCCUUUCCAAUUUCCUCUAAAUUUUCCCUGUCUUUCUUACUUCAUUCCUACUUGGUACAUGGAGUUCUUACUUUGGUGGGAGGAAGAAUCUAAUGAUUUUCUGUCUUCCUCUCUGUUUACAUUUAUUAUAACGUGGAGACUUACUGUGGUGGCCAUUUUAGAGACGAUUGGCUUGUUUGUCUGGUGAACAUAGGUUGGGGCAUUUUGUUAGGGGCAAAAACUAUGAAACAAAUCAUUAGCCGUGUGUGCUGUGGAUUCCUUCCUACAGAAUGAAAUAUAAAUGUGUUAUAAUAAUAUAGAAUACGUGGCCCUAUCACUUUAACAAGAAGCAGAGAUCUCCCGCUGUUUGGAAGCCAGGACAAAGUUCUGUGAGCGCAUGCUUUUCCCUCGGGCGGUCUGGGACCUUUGUGCAUAGAAUCCCGUGGAUUGCUGCACGAUGGGAGGAGGAUUGUUCCGUACUGCAUAAAUUGUCCAACCAGAAGAUUUGGCCUUAGAAGGGAGACUCUGCAAAACACAUUUUUGGUGCCACCUUUUGUACUCACCAUAUUAGAUGUCCGUACACAGCCCCCUCCAUGUCUGUGUCACGUCCACCGGCCGCUAGAGUUAUAGGAGGAUCCGAGGACACCUAGUGGCUGAAAAUGAUCACACAUUAAUGUUUCACACAACUAUAUGCAAUCGUGCCGGUCACAGAGUGGCUAAGAAAGUGGCAGAGAUGAGAGAUCCUGUCUUGAAGUCGGAGGCAAGGGCUGAGACUGGAGCAGAGAAAAGGUGCAGAAGUGGACGAUGUGUGUGGCGAGAGCAGGCUGUUAGAUUUGAAGGGGCCCGAGUGUUCCAAACAGGAGAAGCUCUAUGGGACUGAAGUGGCAGGAGUCCUUCCCUGUGGAGUCAGUGGCCUUUAAGGACAUGGCUGUGAACUUCACCUGGGGGAGUGGACUAUGUCAGAUCCAAACCAAAAGGAGCUUUAUCAAGAUCUUCUGUGGGAAACCUUGAGGAACCCGGUCUCCAUAGUAAACAGAUGAUUAUUGUCUUAACUAAAGAACAAGUGCUUCUGGCUCAUCAGUGCCGCUGCAUGGACUGAAAUAUGCCAAUUGGAAGAGAAAUCAUGUGGAUGUAAAGAAAGUCAUCAGUGUGCAAAAUCUCCAACUGCAUCUCAAAGCAGUUGUAAAUCUACACAGAAAUAUCCAUAAGUGAAAAUGGAGUGUAUGAAGAAAUAUCUCUAAGUGUGUUCUCAAAGCUCUCCCAGGAUACAAACCAUGUGAAGACGAAGAAUAUGGAAAGAAACCAUAUAAGCAUAAAGAGUUUGAGAAUAUCUCCAGUUCCCCUAUGUCCUUUCUGAAGCAUAAAGGGACUCAUACUGGAGAGAAUUCUUCUAAAAUAAUUACUGUGAUGAGAUACUUUUAUAUUUCAGAUAUGGUCAACAUCAUGAAAGAACCUUCAUUAGAGAAAAAAAGGCCAUGAGUAUAAGCAAUGUGACAAAGUUUUCAUUUCAUUCCUUUCAAAGGCAUGAGGAAUGUCACAGUCAGUAGAAAUUCUAUGUAAGUAAACUAUGUGAGAACACCUUCAUUCUUUCCACUAUUCUAAAAAAACAUGAAAGAAUUUACACUGGUGAGAAGCCCUAUGUAUGUAAGGUAUGUGAGAAAGCCUUCUUGCUUCUGAAGCAAUUACAAAGACAUGAAGUAAUUCCUAGUGGCAAGAAUCCUGGGCCAGACGUGGUGGCACACACGUUUAAUCCCAGCACUCAGGAGGCAAAGGCAGCUGAUCGCUGCUCCUCUAUCAGUUGCAGGCUUCUCCUUCUCAUAGCAGUUGCAGCUGUCGAGUCUCCUGUUCUGCCAUACUUGUAUCACAGGGCUGCUCCCUCUUUCCUGCCUCUCCAUCACAUAUUCUUUCAUCAUAAUAACAUUGGUGUAAGCCCCUCAAGCCUCUUGAGUGCCCAGGCCUCUCCCCCAAGGAUCCCUAACUGCCAGGUUUCACCCACAGAAUACUCUGUCUGCUCUAACUGAUGGACCCUGCACCUACCCUACCGAGUAAAAAGCCCAAUCUCUUGAAAUCCCACCAAUCUCUACCCUGGAAAGCUCCACCCUGAAAAGUUCCAUCCCCUUCUCAAGAAUCUCCAUAUGAGCCCUGUAUCCUGCCCAGUUUGCUGCAUUUUCCCACCCUGUCUGAGGCAGCCACUCUCCUGGAUCCCUUUCUCCCAAUAAACCUCUUAGUGAGGUUUGGGUGAUGAUCUUCGCUGGAGUGGAGUGAGGCAGAGAAGUAACAAUUUUUGAAGGAGCAGCAGCAGAACUGUUACAUUUCUGUGGAUAAACUCCCUUAGCAGAGCAGAGCAGAGCUGUAAUGACCCUCUCAGAGAGGAGCAGAACUGCUACGCUCCUGUGGGGAAACCAUCCCCAAAGGAACAGAGCUUUAGAUAGCGCCUGGCUUCCCGUGCUAGGAUAUCCUCCCCGCUAGAGUUGUAACACCUACAGUUGAAAGCUGUGGUGUGUCAUGCAGUGUACCCUUUGCCCAAACAGUAGUCAUUACCAUGAGUUGCUGGUCUAAUUCAGGAACUCUGACUUCUGACACAACAUCAAUACUGGACCCUCACCAAGACUUCUCUCAGAUAUCCUGAUGUUACCCGGAGUCAUGAGGUCCUGUGGCUACGGUUCUGCAGGACUGGCCCCUUCACAUGUUCCAGUAGCUCAUAGAUGGGGUAGAUGUUGGGGUACAUCAACUCAAAGCCCUGGAUCUGGGUGGUAGCUGAGUUGGUCAACCUGGGUCUUUACCACCCCAACCCAUAAGGGGUGAGGCCAGCUCUCCUACUCUGAUGAGGGAUUGGGCCAGCUCCCCCUUUGCCUGCAAGGGGUGGGGACAGAUCUCCAUCACCUACAUCACUGAGGGAUGGAGCCAGGCAAUGGUGGCUGGCAAGGGACAGGGUAAGAGGACUUUUUCCAUGUGGUUUGACAAGAAAAAUAUUUCACCCUGGAACUGUAGUUACAGACAGCUGUGAGCUGCCAUGUGAGUGCUAGGAAUUGAACGCAGGUCCUCUGAUAGCUCAGUCAGUGCUAUUAACUACUGAGCCAUCUCUC
Molecule: non-coding RNA, 3129 nt
Organism: Peromyscus maniculatus bairdii (prairie deer mouse)
Lineage: Eukaryota; Metazoa; Chordata; Mammalia; Rodentia; Cricetidae
Source: RefSeq, a predicted model, not a curated record